This 490-nucleotide ribosomal RNA is filed under the name uncultured bacterium. Its description in RNAcentral is "partial 16S ribosomal RNA". It matches the Rfam family "Bacterial small subunit ribosomal RNA", at positions 30 to 507 of the family's 1533-position model. The record is from RNAcentral.
AUUGAACGCUGGUGGCAUGCCUUACACAUGCAAGCCGAACGGCAGCAUGAUCUAGCUUGCUAGAUUGAUGGCGAGUGGCGAACGGGUGAGUAAUACAUCGGAACGUGCCCUGUAGUGGGGGAUAACUAGUCGAAAGAUUAGCUAAUACCGCAUACGACCUGAGGGUGAAAGUGGGGGACCGCAAGGCCUCAUGCUAUAGGAGCGGCCGAUGUCUGAUUAGCUAGUUGGUGAGGUAAAGGCUCACCAAGGCGACGAUCAGUAGCUGGUCUGAGAGGACGAUCAGCCACACUGGGACUGAGACACGGCCCAGACUCCUACGGGAGGCAGCAGUGGGGAAUUUUGGACAAUGGGCGAAAGCCUGAUCCAGCAAUGCCGCGUGUGUGAAGAAGGCCUUCGGGUUGUAAAGCACUUUUGUCCGGAAAGAAAUGGCUCUGGUUAAUACCUGGGGUCGAUGACGGUACCGGAAGAAUAAGGACCGGCUAACUACGUG